AGUGAACGCUGGCGGUAGGCCUAACACAUGCAAGUCGAACGGCAGCACAGGAGAGCUUGCUCUCUGGGUGGCGAGUGGCGGACGGGUGAGGAAUACAUCGGAAUCUACUUUUUCGUGGGGGAUAACGUAGGGAAACUUACGCUAAUACCGCAUACGACCUACGGGUGAAAGCAGGGGACCUUCGGGCCUUGCGCGAUUGAAUGAGCCGAUGUCGGAUUAGCUAGUUGGCGGGGUAAAGGCCCUCCAAGGCGACGAUCCGUAGCUGGACUGAGAGGAUGAUCAGCCACACUGGAACUGAGACACGGUCCAGACUCCUACGGGAGGCAGCAGUGGGGAAUAUUGGACAAGGGGCGCAAGCCUGAUCCAGCCAUACCGCGUGGGUGAAGAAGGCCUUCGGGUUGUAAAGCCCUUUUGUUGGGAAAGAAAUCCAGCUGGUUAAUACCCGGUUGGGAUGACGGUACCCAAAGAAUAAGCACCGGCUAACUUCGUGCCAGCCGCCGCCGUAA
This 506-nucleotide ribosomal RNA is filed under the name uncultured bacterium. RNAcentral's name for it is "partial 16S ribosomal RNA". It matches the Rfam family "Bacterial small subunit ribosomal RNA", at positions 29 to 523 of the family's 1533-position model. The record is from RNAcentral.